Molecule: non-coding RNA, 2086 nt
Organism: Musa acuminata subsp. malaccensis (wild Malaysian banana)
Lineage: Eukaryota; Viridiplantae; Streptophyta; Magnoliopsida; Zingiberales; Musaceae
Source: RefSeq, a predicted model, not a curated record
UGUGUCAAGCGCAUCACUCUAUUGAAGGAUGUGCGAUCUUGUGAUGGGCAAUCACGAGAGAGUUCAACAUCCCUGUUUCAUUCUAUGAAGCAAUUUGGUUUGCUCUGUGACUUUGUGAUUGCUGAAUGUUACGAAUUGAGUGGAGCGGGAGCGGUCAUGCAUGCGAUCAUGGUGGAUCCUCAGCUGUGGUCUUCUCCCCUGGAUUCGUCCAUCGCCUAGCAGCAGCGGCUUCGUCAAACAAUUUACCCUGUAAUAUUGUGCAGGAACUUUUCGUAUUAAUAUAAAUGAUGUCGUUCUUACACUACGUACAUAUAUUAGGUCAGCACCUUUCGUUGAGCUAACAGAGGCCUACUACUGGCUGUAACAUUCCUCCCCAGUCCAUGCUUCCCCUUCGAAGGUGUCAUUUCGAAGCAAGGAUCACGCGUGACAUAUUUAUUGCGAUGUCGCGGUGAACAUGCUCAUAAAAUACGAACCCUUCCACCAUCAACCCUGGUGCACUUCUCCACGGUCGUCCACGUCUCAUGAGUCGAUCCCUCUCUCGCUAUGUCCCCUCCUCCUCUUCUGCUGUCCACAUAGGUAGAUCGAGAAGAAGAAGGGAGAGGAGGGACACGAAUGGAUCGCUGGGGGAACAACCAUCACCAUGAACAGCAACGGCAACAACAUCUGAGGGUCAACGAGCUGAGCAAGAACAUCCGCAAGACCCUUCCCCACCACCCAACCUGCUACUACUCCGACCAAAAGCCACCGCAGCAGCAACAGAAGCCGCAGCCGCAGGUGUACAACAUCAGCAAGAAGGACUUCCGCAGCAUCGUCCAGCAGCUCACCGGCACCCCCUCCCGCGACAGCAGCCCCGUCCCCAAUCCCCAUCCCCAUCCCCAUCCCCGGCCGAGGCCCUCCAGCACCCGCCUCCAGAAGAUCCGGCCCCCGCCGCUCGCCGCAAUUCCCCGGCCUCCUCCCCCUUCUCUGACCGCCGCCGCCGCUCGCCUUCCACCCCCCUAUUAUCCCCCCAUCCCCUACCAAAGCCCUAGUUUCAAUCUGCCCCCAGCUCCGGUUCCUCAUCCCAAUUGGGACCCUUCGUCCUUCCCCCGCCCCUUCAUCUCCGCCGGUGCUGCCGGCCCUGCCUGGGCCGAGUCGCCCGUCUCCACCUACAUGCGCUAUCUUGAGAGCUCUCUCGUCAGCUCCGACACCUCCCGCCAGCCGCACCAACCGCCCCUUCCAUCCCCGGGGUUGCUGCCGCCACUCCCCCUGCCAUCUCCAAGAACAACCGCUAGGCUACCUCCUCCUCCUACUACCCCGUCAGCGUCGGCGUUGCCUUCUCCAAGCACGUUCUUGAACAUGCUCUCGCCGAAAUCUCCUUAUCCACUGAUGUCGCCGGGGUUCCAAUACCCUCCGCCGCUGACUCCCAACUUUGCUCUGUCGCCAUUGGGCCAAUCGGAGAUGUGGGGGGCAGGACCAGGGCCCGGUCCGCGGCCACCACCCUCUCCCGGGCUCUGGUUCCCUCCGUCACCCUCUGGCUUCUUGCCCAUUCUGAGCCCUGGAUGGAGGGAUAUGUUGUAGCUCCAAGGUGGAACUGCUGUUCCUUUGCCAGCUUUUGUUGACAGAUAGCCAAGCCUAUCGAUCUCAAUAUCCAUUUAUUGGUCUGACCAAAGGUCUAAUGUAAGUGUUCAACAUAGAUGACAACAAGUAUUGGUUUAGGAGAUUACCAUGGACAUGUCGGCAGUAUGGGCAUUGGAAUACAAGAUGAUGGAAAUGUAGCUGGAAUUAUGCAGUUAUCUCUUAAUCGGAGCAGAUUAAGCUCGAGUAUCUGAACUAGAAAUUUGGACUCCAGACCAGGAUGAUGGUAACACUUGUUUUCUGUUUGUGAUGUAAACAGUUCCCAUCCUUAGCAUUUAUAUUUGAGGGAUGCUUUCUUUUGUAUCAACCAGAAAGAAAGAUCCUUGUACAUGGUUGGGAGCUUACAGCUUGUUGGUGCUGUUUUAGUAGGGUGUGUAUGAUGACUUGAGAUGUGAUCAUGUUGUAUAUGUGGUGUUUGAAACUUGCAGUUGCUGUACUAACUGUUAGCUACAAUACUCAGCUUUUCAUCUUC